This 55-nucleotide transfer RNA is filed under the name Philometroides sanguineus. Its description in RNAcentral is "tRNA-Gly". Lineage: Eukaryota; Metazoa; Nematoda; Chromadorea; Rhabditida; Philometridae. The record is from RNAcentral.
AAUUCUAUAGUAUAUGUAGUACAUUUAAUUUCCAAUUAAAAGGUCUAAGGGAUUA